RNAcentral lists this ribosomal RNA (2930 nucleotides) under Escherichia coli. RNAcentral's name for it is "23S ribosomal RNA". It matches the Rfam family "Bacterial large subunit ribosomal RNA". Lineage: Bacteria; Pseudomonadati; Pseudomonadota; Gammaproteobacteria; Enterobacterales; Enterobacteriaceae. The record is from RNAcentral.
GGGUUGUGAGGUUAAGCGACUAAGCGUACACGGUGGAUGCCCUGGCAGUCAGAGGCGAUGAAGGACGUGCUAAUCUGCGAUAAGCGUCGGUAAGGUGAUAUGAACCGUUAUAACCGGCGAUUUCCGAAUGGGGAAACCCAGUGUGAUUCGUCACACUAUCAUUAACUGAAUCCAUAGGUUAAUGAGGCGAACCGGGGGAACUGAAACAUCUAAGUACCCCGAGGAAAAGAAAUCAACCGAGAUUCCCCCAGUAGCGGCGAGCGAACGGGGAGCAGCCCAGAGCCUGAAUCAGUGUGUGUGUUAGUGGAAGCGUCUGGAAAGGCGCGCGAUACAGGGUGACAGCCCCGUACACAAAAAUGCACAUGCUGUGAGCUCGAUGAGUAGGGCGGGACACGUGGUAUCCUGUCUGAAUAUGGGGGGACCAUCCUCCAAGGCUAAAUACUCCUGACUGACCGAUAGUGAACCAGUACCGUGAGGGAAAGGCGAAAAGAACCCCGGCGAGGGGAGUGAAAAAGAACCUGAAACCGUGUACGUACAAGCAGUGGGAGCACGCUUAGGCGUGUGACUGCGUACCUUUUGUAUAAUGGGUCAGCGACUUAUAUUCUGUAGCAAGGUUAACCGAAUAGGGGAGCCGAAGGGAAACCGAGUCUUAACUGGGCGUUAAGUUGCAGGGUAUAGACCCGAAACCCGGUGAUCUAGCCAUGGGCAGGUUGAAGGUUGGGUAACACUAACUGGAGGACCGAACCGACUAAUGUUGAAAAAUUAGCGGAUGACUUGUGGCUGGGGGUGAAAGGCCAAUCAAACCGGGAGAUAGCUGGUUCUCCCCGAAAGCUAUUUAGGUAGCGCCUCGUGAAUUCAUCUCCGGGGGUAGAGCACUGUUUCGGCAAGGGGGUCAUCCCGACUUACCAACCCGAUGCAAACUGCGAAUACCGGAGAAUGUUAUCACGGGAGACACACGGCGGGUGCUAACGUCCGUCGUGAAGAGGGAAACAACCCAGACCGCCAGCUAAGGUCCCAAAGUCAUGGUUAAGUGGGAAACGAUGUGGGAAGGCCCAGACAGCCAGGAUGUUGGCUUAGAAGCAGCCAUCAUUUAAAGAAAGCGUAAUAGCUCACUGGUCGAGUCGGCCUGCGCGGAAGAUGUAACGGGGCUAAACCAUGCACCGAAGCUGCGGCAGCGACGCUGAUGCGUUGUUGGGUAGGGGAGCGUUCUGUAAGCCUGUGAAGGUGUACUGUGAGGUAUGCUGGAGGUAUCAGAAGUGCGAAUGCUGACAUAAGUAACGAUAAAGCGGGUGAAAAGCCCGCUCGCCGGAAGACCAAGGGUUCCUGUCCAACGUUAAUCGGGGCAGGGUGAGUCGACCCCUAAGGCGAGGCCGAAAGGCGUAGUCGAUGGGAAACAGGUUAAUAUUCCUGUACUUGGUGUUACUGCGAAGGGGGGACGGAGAAGGCUAUGUUGGCCGGGCGACGGUUGUCCCGGUUUAAGCGUGUAGGCUGGUUUUCCAGGCAAAUCCGGAAAAUCAAGGCUGAGGCGUGAUGACGAGGCACUACGGUGCUGAAGCAACAAAUGCCCUGCUUCCAGGAAAAGCCUCUAAGCAUCAGGUAACAUCAAAUCGUACCCCAAACCGACACAGGUGGUCAGGUAGAGAAUACCAAGGCGCUUGAGAGAACUCGGGUGAAGGAACUAGGCAAAAUGGUGCCGUAACUUCGGGAGAAGGCACGCUGAUAUGUAGGUGAAGCGACUUGCUCGUGGAGCUGAAAUCAGUCGAAGAUACCAGCUGGCUGCAACUGUUUAUUAAAAACACAGCACUGUGCAAACACGAAAGUGGACGUAUACGGUGUGACGCCUGCCCGGUGCCGGAAGGUUAAUUGAUGGGGUCAGCGCAAGCGAAGCUCUUGAUCGAAGCCCCGGUAAACGGCGGCCGUAACUAUAACGGUCCUAAGGUAGCGAAAUUCCUUGUCGGGUAAGUUCCGACCUGCACGAAUGGCGUAAUGAUGGCCAGGCUGUCUCCACCCGAGACUCAGUGAAAUUGAACUCGCUGUGAAGAUGCAGUGUACCCGCGGCAAGACGGAAAGACCCCGUGAACCUUUACUAUAGCUUGACACUGAACAUUGAGCCUUGAUGUGUAGGAUAGGUGGGAGGCUUUGAAGUGUGGACGCCAGUCUGCAUGGAGCCGACCUUGAAAUACCACCCUUUAAUGUUUGAUGUUCUAACGUUGACCCGUAAUCCGGGUUGCGGACAGUGUCUGGUGGGUAGUUUGACUGGGGCGGUCUCCUCCUAAAGAGUAACGGAGGAGCACGAAGGUUGGCUAAUCCUGGUCGGACAUCAGGAGGUUAGUGCAAUGGCAUAAGCCAGCUUGACUGCGAGCGUGACGGCGCGAGCAGGUGCGAAAGCAGGUCAUAGUGAUCCGGUGGUUCUGAAUGGAAGGGCCAUCGCUCAACGGAUAAAAGGUACUCCGGGGAUAACAGGCUGAUACCGCCCAAGAGUUCAUAUCGACGGCGGUGUUUGGCACCUCGAUGUCGGCUCAUCACAUCCUGGGGCUGAAGUAGGUCCCAAGGGUAUGGCUGUUCGCCAUUUAAAGUGGUACGCGAGCUGGGUUUAGAACGUCGUGAGACAGUUCGGUCCCUAUCUGCCGUGGGCGCUGGAGAACUGAGGGGGGCUGCUCCUAGUACGAGAGGACCGGAGUGGACGCAUCACUGGUGUUCGGGUUGUCAUGCCAAUGGCACUGCCCGGUAGCUAAAUGCGGAAGAGAUAAGUGCUGAAAGCAUCUAAGCACGAAACUUGCCCCGAGAUGAGUUCUCCCUGACUCCUUGAGAGUCCUGAAGGAACGUUGAAGACGACGACGUUGAUAGGCCGGGUGUGUAAGCGCAGCGAUGCGUUGAGCUAACCGGUACUAAUGAACCGUGAGGCUUAACCUUACAACGCCGAAGCUGUU